GUGAGGAAUAUUGGUCAAUGGAGGCAACUCUGAACCAGCCAAGUCGCGUGAAGGAUGAAGGUCUUAUGGAUUGUAAACUUCUUUUGCAAGGGAAUAAAGUGGGGGACGUGUCCUCCUUUGCAUGUACCUUGCGAAUAAGGAUCGGCUAACUCCGUGCCAGCAGCCGCGGUAAUACGGAGGAUCCGAGCGUUAUCCGGAUUUAUUGGGUUUAAAGGGUGCGCAGGCGGGAUGUUAAGUCGGCGGUGAAAUUUUGCAGCUCAACUGUAAAAGUGCCUUCGAUACUGGCUUUCUUGAGUGUGGAUGAAGUAGGCGGAAUUUGUGGUGUAGCGGUGAAAUGCUUAGAUAUCACGAGGAACUCCGAUUGCGCAGGCAGCUUACUAAACCACUACUGACGCUCAUGCACGAAGGCGUGGGGAUCAAACAGGAUUAGAAACCCCGGUAGUCC
RNAcentral lists this ribosomal RNA (445 nucleotides) under uncultured bacterium. RNAcentral's name for it is "partial 16S ribosomal RNA". It matches the Rfam family "Bacterial small subunit ribosomal RNA", at positions 354 to 796 of the family's 1533-position model. The record is from RNAcentral.